This 422-nucleotide ribosomal RNA is filed under the name uncultured bacterium. RNAcentral's name for it is "bacterial SSU rRNA". It matches the Rfam family "Bacterial small subunit ribosomal RNA", at positions 29 to 476 of the family's 1533-position model. The record is from RNAcentral.
AACGAACGCUGGCGGCAUGCCUAACACAUGCAAGUCGAACGAGACCUUCGGGUCUAGUGGCGCACGGGUGCGUAACGCGUGGGAACCUGCCUUUAGGUUCGGAAUAACUCAGAGAAAUUUGAGCUAAUACCGGAUAAUGUCUUCGGACCAAAGAUUUAUCGCCUUUAGAUGGGCCCGCGUUGGAUUAGCUAGUUGGUGGGGUAAAGGCCUACCAAGGCGACGAUCCAUAGCUGGUCUGAGAGGAUGAUCAGCCACACUGGGACUGAGACACGGCCCAGACUCCUACGGGAGGCAGCAGUGGGGAAUAUUGGACAAUGGGCGAAAGCCUGAUCCAGCAAUGCCGCGUGAGUGAUGAAGGCCUUCGGGUUGUAACUAGCUUUGUUACGGAACGAAACGGUGAGCUCUAAUAACAGUUUGCUAAU